Long non-coding RNA from Notolabrus celidotus (New Zealand spotty), 277 nucleotides. RefSeq lists it as uncharacterized. Lineage: Eukaryota; Metazoa; Chordata; Actinopteri; Labriformes; Labridae. The transcript has 2 exons. The record is from RefSeq and is a predicted model, not a curated record.
UACAAGUUCUUCUUUGGAUACUCAACAUUUUUCAACCAUUACUUUUGAAGCUCAAGCUAUUAAAGGCAAAACAACACAACCCUACUUAUGUUGAUAUCCUCCUAACCUCUGAGCAUCGAUGGGAGAGUUUGACUGCACACAGCCACAGUGUGAGGUGUAUGUGCCUGGAGGGUUCGUUUAUCAAUAUCAAUAGAUUCAAGACUGGAUUGACAGUGACGAAUCACGGAAAAUGUAUUGUUGCUGCCUCCUAAAAUAAAGCUUUCAGUAGAAUACUGUA